This 253-nucleotide ribosomal RNA is filed under the name uncultured bacterium. Its description in RNAcentral is "partial 16S ribosomal RNA". It matches the Rfam family "Bacterial small subunit ribosomal RNA", at positions 524 to 776 of the family's 1533-position model. The record is from RNAcentral.
UACAGAGGGUGCUAGCGUUGUUCGGAAUUACUGGGCGUAAAGGGCUCGUAGGUGGCCAACUAAGUCAGACGUGAAAUCCCUCGGCUUAACCGGGGAACUGCGUCUGAUACUGGAUGGCUUGAGUUCGGGAGAGGGAUGCGGAAUUCCAGGUGUAGCGGUGAAAUGCGUAGAUAUCUGGAGGAACACCGGUGGCGAAGGCGGCAUCCUGGACCGACACUGACACUGAGGAGCGAAAGCCAGGGGAGCAAACGGG